Molecule: long non-coding RNA, 2037 nt
Organism: Herpailurus yagouaroundi (jaguarundi)
Lineage: Eukaryota; Metazoa; Chordata; Mammalia; Carnivora; Felidae
Exons: 3
Source: RefSeq, a predicted model, not a curated record
ACAGUGAAGAAGAGGCACUUGGAGGGAUUCAUCAUUGUGGUCAGACGUGAUCGAAGGGGGGUUUAUACCCCUUUUCAGGAGGACUCCUGUCCUGGUGUGUGAAGGUUUACGGGGCAGAGAAUCUUGGUGCGGAAGGGUUGAGGAAUAGUGUUCCCUGCUCUGGCUUGGUCUGUGAAAAAUGAAACAGCGCCAGAUGCAAGCACUGCCAAGCACAAAUUUAUACACUUCAAAGAAUUUUUACUUUUUCAAUCAGAAAAAGACAUGAGACUCCAGACUCUAGACUCUCUAUUUCAGUCCCAAAUUGCCAAAUUGCUGAUGUUGCAGUCUUUCUUAGAAUUUGUUUGGAGAAAGCAGCAAAGGGACGAAAAGGAAAAACUGUGUUUUACCCAAAUGAGCUCCCUGAAUUUGUAGAGUGUGUUAUUAAGCAAAGCUGUGUUGGGGCAAGAAUCAUUUUACAUUCCUAAAGGGUGACGCUCUGAGACUCUUCAGCCUCGGGGCUGGUAAAACUCUGGAGAGAGGACAGAGGAGGAGAAUUCAAAAAUAACGGAGAAUCUGGAGCUUAAUGUGGGAAGGAGGAAAGGCAAGCACUUUCUAAACGCUCGCCUAGCCUUCUUAGCCCACAUGACACUGGCGGAGUCCCAAGCGCCUGGCUGGCUGCAGAAGGGCGGCCCCUCACGGGGGCGGAGCUUGUGGCGCUGAGGCCCCUCCCACCAGUCAGGUGCCCCAGUGCCUGCAGGAAACAAGGCCAGAAAGUCUCCCUGGGGCUCCCCCUGCGUGCCUUGUUUAAUGCCCUGAUUCAUAUGGACUGAACCCUUCCUGACACACGGGCUACCUAAAUAUGAAAUUCCCUCCUUCCACGAGCAUCGAAUGAGCACCUACAGUAUACCAGCCAGAGGGUCCCCACGGCCAACGCACUAUGCAUUACGUCAUCGUAAGUCAACCGGACGCUGCCUGGGCUGCAGCCCGCAGAGGGCACGGCAGGGGCUCCAGGUGGAACAGUGCGCGGAUAGAGGGGGGAGCCUUGCUGCAGAACAUCUAAGAUGUUAGCCUGGGGAGGCGGGGAGGCAGAUGGAAGGUGAGGAGCCACGGAUGAUCUGGACAUCCUGAAAGGCCUUGAGGCAUCAGGUGGGUCCUCGUCCAAGGAGCUGGAAAUUCGUCUCUGUCUUCCCUGUCGUCUGUCCUAAGUGGUCUUGGUAUUUUCAGUCCCGUCAUGCCUUGACCCCCAGAAUUCUCUUUCCGACGUUGGGAGGAAGGAUCCUUGAAGUGAUCCAGAGCAAAUGCUUCCUUUACUUGAGAAAACCAAGGACCAGAGAUGUGAGGAGACCUGCCCGGAGCCACAGACCUGCCGUGGGAGAGAUGGGACCAGACCCUGUUCCCAGAAUGUCCAGGUUCACCUUGCCUCUCCUGAGUGACCACUGUGACCACGCUGUCUCCUUCUGGUACUUCAUAAUAUAUUCCCGGGCUCCUGGCACACCUUCCAGGCCCCACGUGGAGACAGCACCCACACCAGGCUACGUACCCUUACUGAAUGACCAGGCCCUGAUCAGCCACGGUUGCCUGGAGCCGUGCAGCCUGCGGGGAACAAGGGACUACAGCCAACAAUCUGGAGUUCUCACCUUGGCCUUGCUGCUAAACCAACCCAAGCCACAGGAUGUCCCCAGUGACUUGAAUUCCUCCAUCCAUAGACUGAAGCUGGGUCUGACCUAUAUCCCCAGAGUCUGGGAGAGGCUAUCAUUGACCACUUAACAUGCACUGCUGUGCUAGGUACGGCACUGGGUACGUCUCUACCACACGCUGCACUGGUUUUACUACAGUGCCCAUCACUAGCUGUCACCUUCCUGUUCAUUUGUCACUUGGCUUAUUCCGCUUUGUCUAUUGCCCAUCUCCUCCUACUAAAGUGCAGAUUCCUUGGACACAGAAGAAGCGUCUCCCCUGUUUGCUGUUGAAUCCCUGUGAAAGACUGUCCACCCUUCAGUGAGCUAGCUGUCUGCUGAAUGAGAUGGGAUAGUGCAUAUAAAAACAUCGCGUGCAAUAACA